CCCUUAGAUGUUCUGGGCUGCACGCGCGCUACACUGAUGCGUUCAACGAGUUUAUCACCUUGCCCGAUAGGGUUGGGUAAUCUUUUGAAAACGCAUCGUGAUGGGGAUAGAUUAUUGUAAUUAUUAAUCUUCAACGAGGAAUUCCUAGUAAGUGCGAAUCAUCAGUUCGCGCUGAUUACGUCCCUGCCCUUUGUACACACCGCCCGUCGCACCUACCGAUUGGAUGGUCCGGUGAAGCCUCGGGAUUGUGGUUCUUGCCGCUUUAUUGUGGCGUGACCGCGAGAACUUGUCUAAACCUUAUCAUCUAGAGGAAGGUGAAGUCGUAACA
RNAcentral lists this ribosomal RNA (328 nucleotides) under uncultured eukaryote. RNAcentral's name for it is "partial 18S ribosomal RNA". It matches the Rfam family "Eukaryotic small subunit ribosomal RNA", at positions 1470 to 1796 of the family's 1831-position model. The record is from RNAcentral.